This 253-nucleotide ribosomal RNA is filed under the name uncultured bacterium. Its description in RNAcentral is "partial 16S ribosomal RNA". It matches the Rfam family "Bacterial small subunit ribosomal RNA", at positions 524 to 776 of the family's 1533-position model. The record is from RNAcentral.
UACGAAGGGGGCAAGCGUUGUUCGGAAUUACUGGGCGUAAAGGGCGCGUAGGCGGCUUAUCAAGUCAGGCGUGAAAUUCCCGGGCUCAACCUGGGGGCUGCGCUUGAUACUGAUUGGCUUGAAUGCGGGAGAGGAUAGUGGAAUUCCCAGUGUAGAGGUGAAAUUCGUAGAUAUUGGGAAGAACACCGGUGGCGAAGGCGGCUAUCUGGCCCGUAAUUGACGCUGAGGCGCGAAAGCGUGGGGAGCAAACAGG